GAAAAUCACGAAACUGAUAAGGAAGACCAAACAUAUUAUAAAUGUUAAAACUUUGUAAAAACAUAAGCCCAAUGCGGGGCUCGAACCCGCGACAACCAGAUUAAGAGUCUGGUGCUCUACCGACUGAGCUAACCGGGCGGCGAUUGCAUUCAUGUGAGAAGAGAAAUAUGUAACAGGCAAUGGCAUGAGGAA
Molecule: non-coding RNA, 192 nt
Organism: Caenorhabditis elegans
Lineage: Eukaryota; Metazoa; Nematoda; Chromadorea; Rhabditida; Rhabditidae
Source: Ensembl